RNAcentral lists this ribosomal RNA (467 nucleotides) under uncultured bacterium. RNAcentral describes it as "partial 16S ribosomal RNA". It matches the Rfam family "Bacterial small subunit ribosomal RNA", at positions 28 to 507 of the family's 1533-position model. The record is from RNAcentral.
GAUGAACGCUGGCGGCGUGCUUAACACAUGCAAGUCGAACGGAAAGGCCCAAGCUUGCUUGGGUACUCGAGUGGCGAACGGGUGAGUAACACGUGGGUGAUCUGCCCUGCACUUCGGGAUAAGCCUGGGAAACUGGGUCUAAUACCGGAUAGGACCACUUCUUGGAUGUUGUGGUGGAAAGUUUUUUCGGUGUGCGAUUAGCUCGCGGCCUAUCAGCUUGUUGGUGGGGUAAUGGCUUACCAAGGCGUCGCCGGGUAGCCGGCCUGAGAGGGUGUACGGCGACAUUGGGACUGAGGUACGGCCCAGGCUCCUACGGGAGGCAGCAGUGGGGAAUAUUGCACAAUGGGCGCAAGCCUGAUGCAGCGACGCCGCGUGGGGGAUGACGGCCUUCGGGUUGUAAACUCCUUUCGCUAGGGACGAAGCGUUUUGUGACGGUACCUGGAGAAGAAGCACCGGCUAACUACGUG